CCAGUACUGAGCCGGGGCCGGCCGGGCACAGGGAGGAGCCUGGAGCAGCCUCCUGAGAGCCCAGCUGGAUGUCAGAGCUCAGCCCUGCUCAAAAGCUGCACACCCAGAGGCCUUCCUGGUGCAAUAAACCAUCCCAAAAGCAAAA
This is a long non-coding RNA of Camelus dromedarius (Arabian camel), 145 nucleotides long. RefSeq lists it as uncharacterized. The record is from RefSeq and is a predicted model, not a curated record. The transcript has 2 exons. NCBI's taxonomy places the organism in Eukaryota, Metazoa, Chordata, Mammalia, Artiodactyla, Camelidae.